AACGCACAUUGCGCCCGCUAGUAUUCUGGCGGGCAUGCCUGUUCGAGCGUCAUUUCAACCAUCAAGCCCCAGGCUUGCGUUGGAGCCCUGCGGCCGUCCGCAGCCUCCUAAAAGCAGUGGCGGGCUCGCUAUCACACCGAGUGCAGUAGUUUACUCUUCGCUCAGGACGUGCAGCGGGUUCUAGCCGUGAAACCCCCUAAUUUUCAAAGGUUGACCUCGGAUCAGGUAGGAAUACCCGCUGAACUUAA
Molecule: unclassified non-coding RNA, 248 nt
Filed under: Hyphodiscus sp.
Lineage: Eukaryota; Fungi; Ascomycota; Leotiomycetes; Helotiales; Hyphodiscaceae
Description: partial contains 5.8S ribosomal RNA, internal transcribed spacer 2, and large subunit ribosomal RNA
Source: RNAcentral